This is a long non-coding RNA of Xiphophorus couchianus (Monterrey platyfish), 1934 nucleotides long. RefSeq lists it as uncharacterized. The transcript is spliced from 2 exons. The record is from RefSeq and is a predicted model, not a curated record. NCBI's taxonomy places the organism in Eukaryota, Metazoa, Chordata, Actinopteri, Cyprinodontiformes, Poeciliidae.
AGGUUGCAAAAUCAAACAGUGUAAUUUGUGGGGGGAUUAAGUUCCUUCACCACACUUUUCUGUUGGUACAUAGAAAUGAGUGCCUUUAGAGAAAAGAUGAUAAUGCAUUCAAGGUUUUUUCCUCUUGCACAGUACCACACUUACUGUCUUCUUCUGGUAAUCCAAGCUGCUUCUGAUUAUUUAGACAUGUCAAAAAAGUGACAUGGGCAUUAUCAAAGAUGCAACACACCAGAGAUAUAAAAUGUAGUUAAAUGUCACAGUAAUGACCUGAUUAAAAUGCUAAUUAAUCACAUGCCAUGCUAUGCAGAUGCUCUGUCUGCACUGAUGAAGACUCACCAUGAGUGCUUGAAGUAGCUGACUGCUUUGGCCUUACCGUCUCAUUAACUCAGCUAAUAAUUAUCUGACCACAAGUGGGCAGCCAUUGUUUACCAAUAUAGAACUGAACUUUCAUCCAGAGAUAGUCAGGUAAUCACCUGAAUAUAAAAGAAAAAAAGUAAGAUGUUAGUGCUUGGUAAAAUGUAAUAGCAUAAUGAAUUUUACAUGCUUCAUCACAAUAAAAAGGCAUUAGUUUUAAUGGAGGCACAUCAUAAACUGUACAUAUUCCUCAAAUCAGUGAUCCUACUUAGAGUUUUAAGAGGUACCAACAUACAGCAGUUUAAGAAACAGUGUGACAUCAGGUUGUCAAAUUAAACUACUGCUAUACUGACUGAGUAAUCUAAAUUUUAAAGUUUAAUAAUUAGGGCAGACAUUGAUUUUGUUUUAUAACUUACAUGUAAAAUAAAUAGACUAAAGGAAUCAGGAGGAUUGCAACAUUCCCAGAUGCAUUCUUCACAUUUUUUUCUGCGUUGCAAUGUAGCAUCUUCCUGAUGUGAAUUCAGAAACUUGCUAAAACAAGUCGAUGACAGUAACUUAAACAUAAAACACACUUUAAAACUCAUGUGAAUAUUGAAUGCAAGUCUAGCAAAUUUCUCUAAGCUACUAGUAGUUUACAGCUGCUUAGAACAGAAAAAAAAAUCAAAGUAAGCAACUCAUUUAACAAAUCUGAAAACAAUUAAAAGUUGCUUCUGGUGUUUGAAGGCAUGCUCAGAACAGGAAGCAACCCUGAGCAUGCACAAACAAGGCUGCAAUGCCAUUAUCUGUCUGAGCCUUUCAUGUUGGUAAUGAAAGUACAGAGAAACAACCUUCCCUCAGAGGCUGUCAGCAAGUCGGCUGCAGGAAGCUCAGAGUGCAGAUGACAGGUGGAAGAGCAGAACGUCUGCGCUGGAAUGAAAAUGGUGCAGCCUGGACAGCAUGGCGACAAAACGUUUCAAGAGGCUGGAUGGUUCAGAGGAUCCAGGCACGAGAUGCUGUCCAGAUGCCUGUCCUCCACCUCAGCUGAAGUGCUCAUUCCAUGAGUCAGCGUGUCGAUCACUGGGUGAGAGCCGGGAGGGAGAAGCGGCUGUUUUUCUCAGAGCUCUGCUGCCUGUUUGCCAAACAAUGGCAGAUGGGAAUGCUUGGAUAUUAGUGGAUGCCUUCUACGUGCUUGGACAUGCUAUGCAAAAUUCAACAGUGUCACGCUCUGUCUCUGACUCUGCUGCCAUGUAUCACUUGUGAAUGUGUUCCUUCACUGACCCUAUUAGGUAACUUGUAAGCUGUAAAAACUUGUAGCAGCAUGUUUCUCUGUUUGGCUGUGUAAAGAUCCUUGGGGUUUGCUCCAGCAAAACAUCAUUACUCUGAUUGAUAUUGUCUUUACGAACUGCUUAUGAUGUUAAGAAAAGUUAAGAAAACAUUUAAAUCCAGACACAAUCUUGAAGUGAAGCCAGUUGCUCCGAGGUUACACUCCACACACCUGCUUCCUUGUUAACAUAAGAAGCAGCAACAGGCUCAUUUUAAGCUCCAACAUAAAUUAACUUGUGUCCUUCUGAAUAAAAGCACCAUAUCUGGUUUCUAUGGAA